This is a long non-coding RNA of Epinephelus fuscoguttatus (brown-marbled grouper), 2236 nucleotides long. RefSeq lists it as uncharacterized. The record is from RefSeq and is a predicted model, not a curated record. The transcript is spliced from 2 exons. Lineage: Eukaryota; Metazoa; Chordata; Actinopteri; Perciformes; Serranidae.
UUGUAGCGGACCUCAGUCACAAUCAACUGGGCUCUAUAUUAAAACAUCGACCACGGGUCUGACGUUUAAACUACGCAUGAAAACACUACGUUAUGUGACAAAACAGUAACAUAUCGGUAAUUAUGGCUUACAAUUGUGUGCCUUUCCCUCACUUGUCAUUUUCCGACGAUUGUUGCGAAAUGCAUGCUGGGAUACCUGGCUGUCCACACAAGUCUGCUCCGAUGCAUCCCCGGUGAAAUGGGUGUGGCCGGAGAUAUUGGAUAAAUAUCCAAUUUAUCCAAUAUCUCUGGUGUGGCGAGAACACAUCUGGGCAUUUGGACUGAACUUGGCUAGAUGUGAACUUUGAAUUGGAACAGUACUUGGGCUGUGACCAAGCCCCAACCUCCGGGGGAGACGAGUGAAACCAAUGCGGAAGUGCCAAAAACUGCAGUUCACUGACUGUCCACUUGAGGCUGGCUCCGGAAGUGAGUCAAUUCCCAUAGACCCCCAUGUUAAAAUGCCCAACUUUAGAGCAGAAAUAAACAUGUUUACAGCCUGGUACAAAAAAUGGUUUUGGUCUCUAUAGGGGGGGUGUGUGUGUGAAUUUUUUUGUAACUCUUCCGUUUAAAUGUUAUUAAGGUUUGAAAUUGCGCAUAAUUAAGGGCGUGGUCACUUUGACUGACAGGUCGCACCAUCACGGGUGGCAAACUAGCAUGCUAACUAGCCGCUGGCUCUGCUGCAGAGCUGAGCUCAGACUCGGCCGUCUGCUCGGCGUCAUCUCAGCCAGUUCGUGUCCAUGUUCAAGGCUUGAACCUGUCCUCUCAGCCGUGUUUGUGCCUUUUGAAUAUUUUUUCAGGCAAAUAUUGGAGUAAUAUGGCUUGCUGUUCGACUAAUUAUACCAACAGACCGUCCAAGAAGUCUGUGCUCCAGGUUCUUCGUUUUCCUCUAGGUGACCCAGACAGACUGGACCAGUGGACACUCAACACGAGGAGACAGAACUGGACUCCGAACAAGACUUCCCAUCUGUGCAGUGAACACUUUGAGAGUCAUCACUUCAGCACUGACUCCAGGAUAAAGACACCUUUUUUAUACAGUACCUCACAAAGAGUCAAGAAACUUAUUAGUUUAAAAUGAUGAAUUAUUGUCCAUAAUACAUUUAAAUGCAUUACAUAAAUUACUAAUUGUCAUACAUUACUAAGUACUUGAUUAGGGCACAGCUUGCUCUGUACUAUUACUGAUAAGGUGAAAUUACUGACACACCAGUGCAGUUUAGUGUUCCCCUGAUGCAAAAGGCCAAAUGAAGAUUUUAUCAAUCAAGGAACAUGACAUGUAUUUACCAACUUUAACAUUUUAGUGCCUUUUAUGCAAAGACCCUUUAUCAAAGUGAGAACUACUACCUUUUUCCCCACUCACAGUCUGUGAAAAACCAAUGGAAAAAAUAUUCUCAUAAUGAGACAGCUGAACAUAGCAUGAUUCCACAGUGGCAGUGAGCUUUGAGAAGAGUUCAGUUUCCUUUUGAUAGCAACAGUUAUUUUAAUGUGGAUGAAUUGCAUACUGUACAUUCAUACUCCACUUGUCUUGAUAGUACAGUUAAAUUUAAAAUCACAUUCAAAUAUAAAGUUGAAUAUCUACAGAACUUAAACACAAAACUAUUUUAUGAAUGACAGCCACUUACUCAGCAAUAAGAUCAUUUUGGUGGUGAGUGGGCUUUUAACCAAGACAGGCUGUUGUCAAUGUUUUCUACCUGUGUUUUUAACCUGUCAUCUUUCUCUCAUGUAGGACACUUGAGGAAAGUUACAACGCCUCGACCAAUGUGAUAUUUACUCCACAGUAAAGAGGUUGUUUCACAAGAAAUUAAGAUUUUGCAAAUUAUGACACUGGGUCCUAAUCCAUAGGUUUUAUAAUUACUGUUAUAAAUCUUUUCAUUUAUUUCAUGUGUACUUUUUGUAACAUUUUAAUAGUGAUGAUUUCAUGAAUGCAAGCUUUGACUUAAUUUUGUUAAACUGUUUGUGUAAUGGUUAUAACUUGCUAUAUAAAAUGGAUCAAACAAAAUUUACUUUAGAGUUAAAGCAAAUUUUCUGAAAGCUGUCAUUCAUCAGUUUCCUGUGAUGAUUGGAAAUAUAGUGGUGAUUUAAACCAUUAACAAAAUAUAAUUGUUAUAAAUGGCAUCUUAAUGUUUUCAUUUAUGUCUUAACAUUUACCCAAGUUUGCAUUUGUCUUAGCAGAAUGUAAAAAGAAAAAAGAAAAAAAAAGAAAA